This 560-nucleotide ribosomal RNA is filed under the name uncultured fungus. Its description in RNAcentral is "partial 18S ribosomal RNA". It matches the Rfam family "Eukaryotic small subunit ribosomal RNA", at positions 1222 to 1800 of the family's 1831-position model. The record is from RNAcentral. Lineage: Eukaryota; Fungi.
CCCAGNAAACGAUGAGGAUUGACAGNNUNAGAGCUCUUUCUUGAAUUUNNUGNGUGGGUGGUGCAUGACCGUUCUUAGUUGNUGGAGUGAUUUGUCUGNUUAAUUGCGAUAACGANCGAGACCUUAACNUGCUAAAUAGCCCGUAUUGCUUUGGCAGUACGCUGGCUUCUUAGAGGGACUAUCGGCUCAAGCCGAUGGAAGUUUGAGGCAAUAACAGGUACUGUGAUGCCCUUAGAUGUUNUGGGCCGCACGCGCGCUACACUGACAGAGCCAGCGAGUACUCCCUUGGCCGGAAGGCCCGGGUAAUCUUGUUAAACUCUGUCGUGCUGGGGAUAGAGCAUUGCAAUUAUUGCUCUUCAACGAGGAAUCCCUAGUAAGCGCAAGUCAUCAGCUUGCGUUGAUUACGUCCCUGCCCUUUGUACACACCGCCCGUCGCUACUACCGAUUGAAUGGCUCAGUGAGGCUUCCGGACUGGCCCAGAGAGGUCGGCAACGACCACUCAGGGCCGGAAAGCUAUCCAGACUCGGUCAUUUAGAGGAAGUAAAAGUCGUAAUCAAGGU